CUACUAAAAUAAAAUCCAUGGGCAAAUUCAACCCCUCGGAAUAGGGAAUUUACGCACAGUUGAAGAAUUCCAACCUUAACACUGUAUGAAGCCAUUUUUUUUUUUUUUUUUGGAUUUUAAGAAACUCCUCUAUUUACUGCGGGGAUCCUCAUUUUGCGUAUUAAUUACUCUCGAUGUUGAGCCUGAGAGAGCGCUCUUACAAACUUGCCUCCUCUCCUUUCCACUGGGAGUGAACGCAUGGUGGCCGGAACAGUUCGACACUCUACUUUGGGGCAAGUACCUCCCGAAUACUUGUAACAAAUGGUGCAGUGUCUCAACCCUAUCUUCAAAAGCUGACCACAUCCUAGUUCAAUCAGUACAAUGGUUCAGAACACACUGCUGGCUCCCAAAGAUUUCUAAAUAGAUGUUCCUGUACAGUCUCCUAUGUGUUUGCUUCGUUAAGGUACACUCUUAAUGCCCCGUACCAGCAAGUUUCCCAACGAUUUUGAUUACAACCAUAUCUCAGUGUUUACUUUCGGUAGGGUUCGCAAAAAUGUCAUCUAAAACAUAGACAAUAUGUACACUGCACUUCAGGAACAACAUUCGAGAGCAUCUGUCCCUGGGAUUUUGUGGAUAACAUUACCAAAUGCUAGCU
Acanthaster planci (crown-of-thorns starfish) is the source of this 634-nucleotide long non-coding RNA. Lineage: Eukaryota; Metazoa; Echinodermata; Asteroidea; Valvatida; Acanthasteridae. The record is from RefSeq and is a predicted model, not a curated record.